CAAGUCAGCUGGAUAAUCGCUGGCACCGUCAGGUGCUGGAGGAAAGUCCGGGCUCCACAGGGCAGGGUGCCAGGUAACGCCUGGGAGGCGCGAGCCUACGGAAAGUGCCACAGAAAAUAUACCGCCGGACAGCUUGCUGGACGGUAAGGGUGAAAUGGUGCGGUAAGAGCGCACCGCGCGACUGGCAACAGUCGUGGCAGGGAAAACCCCACCCGGAGCAAGACCAAAUAGGAGAGCUAUGGUGCUGCCCGCACUGCUUUCGGGUUGGUUGCAUGAGGGUCCUGGUGACAGGGCUCCCAGAUGAAUGAUUAUCCUCGACAGAACCCGGCUUACAGGCUGACUUAUCUA
This 348-nucleotide RNase P RNA is filed under the name Gammaproteobacteria bacterium. Its description in RNAcentral is "RNase P RNA component class A". It matches the Rfam family "Bacterial RNase P class A". Rfam says of the family: Ribonuclease P (RNase P) is a ubiquitous endoribonuclease, found in archaea, bacteria and eukarya as well as chloroplasts and mitochondria. The record is from RNAcentral. Lineage: Bacteria; Pseudomonadati; Pseudomonadota; Gammaproteobacteria.